RNAcentral lists this ribosomal RNA (549 nucleotides) under uncultured Glomeromycotina. Its description in RNAcentral is "SSU rRNA". It matches the Rfam family "Eukaryotic small subunit ribosomal RNA", at positions 548 to 1098 of the family's 1831-position model. The record is from RNAcentral. Lineage: Eukaryota; Fungi; Glomeromycota.
UUGGAGGGCAAGUCUGGUGCCAGCAGCCGCGGUAAUUCCAGCUCCAAUAGCGUAUAUUAAAGUUGUUGCAGUUAAAAAGCUCGUAGUUGAAUUUCGGGGUUAGUAGGUUGGUCAUGCCUCUGGUAUGUACUGGUCUCACUGAUUCCUCCUUCCUGAUGAGCCGUAAUGCCAUUAAUUUGGUGUUGCGGGGAAUUUGGACUGUUACUUUGAAAAAAUUAGAGUGUUUAAAGCAAGCUAACGCUUGAAUACAUUAGCAUGGAAUAAUGAAAUAGGACGUUCGAUCCUAUUUUGUUGGUUUCUAGGAUUGACGUAAUGAUUAAUAGGGAUAGUUGGGGGCAUUAGUAUUCAAUUGUCAGAGGUGAAAUUCUUGGAUUUAUUGAAGACUAACUACUGCGAAAGCAUUUGCCAAGGAUGUUUUCAUUAAUCAAGAACGAAAGUUAGGGGAUCGAAGACGAUCAGAUACCGUCGUAGUCUUAACCAUAAACUAUGCCGACUAGGGAUCGGAUGAUGUAAAUUUUUUAAUGACUCAUUCGGCGCCUUACGGGAAAC